This 497-nucleotide ribosomal RNA is filed under the name uncultured bacterium. RNAcentral describes it as "partial 16S ribosomal RNA". It matches the Rfam family "Bacterial small subunit ribosomal RNA", at positions 28 to 507 of the family's 1533-position model. The record is from RNAcentral.
GACGAACGCUGGCGGCGUGCCUAAUACAUGCAAGUUGAGCGCUGAAGGUUGGUACUUGUACCAACUGGAUGAGCAGCGAACGGGUGAGUAACGCGUGGGGAAUCUGCCUUUGAGCGGGGGACAACAUUUGGAAACGAAUGCUAAUACCGCAUAAAAACUUUAAACACAAGUUUUAAGUUUGAAAGAUGCAAUUGCAUCACUCAAAGAUGAUCCCGCGUUGUAUUAGCUAGCUGGUGAGGUAAAGGCUCACCAAGGCGAUGAUACAUAGCCGACCUGAGAGGGUGAUCGGCCACGUUGGGACGGGGACACGGCCCAAGCUCCUGCGGGAGGCAGCAGUAGGGAAUCUUCGGCAAUGGACGAAAGUCUGACCGAGCAACGCCGCGGGAGUGAAGAAGGUUUUCGGAUCGUAAAACUCUGUUGGUAGAGAAGAACGUUGGUGAGAGUGGAAAGCUCAUCAAGUGACGGUAACUACCCAGAAAGGGACGGCUAACUACGUG